RNAcentral lists this long non-coding RNA (509 nucleotides) under Apteryx owenii (little spotted kiwi). RNAcentral's name for it is "lncRNA (ENSAOWG00000005081.1)". The record is from RNAcentral. Lineage: Eukaryota; Metazoa; Chordata; Aves; Apterygiformes; Apterygidae.
GUUGCCCUCUUGCAGGUUAGACGUUCCCCCAUCAGUGACCCACGCCAGCGAAGGGACAGGGGCCGCAAGAGCUGGAAGGGCAGCCGGGGAGCGAGUUGGUGCUGCUGCUUUUUCUCCUUGCUCGGUGCCUACGAGCAAAAGCAGCAUUGCAGCAAUGUAACACGAGAGCAGCUCUAAGGAAACGCUCCUGUGAACAAGUGUAGCUGACUUGUAAAAUGUGCUGCUGACGGAGAUCCGAGAGGCCCUGGGUGAGGCGCAGAAAAGAGCAAGCUGGGAACUUGGCCCUUUUCAGGGAAUGAACUCAGAAGCCUCGAUAACCCAAGACGCUUCCUCUCCUACCCUUCCUAGCCCAAUUUGGAUACUCCUGCUAGAAUGCCACUUUCAUACAAAGGCUGGCUUCAGAGAAUGUGCGGAGGCAAGAUUUCAUUUUGAGAACUGGAAAAGACUGAAGCUCAAUUACAGAUGGCAGGCAAGUUGGCAAUCCCUUUCAGCUUGUUUUAGGCAUAUAU